RNAcentral lists this ribosomal RNA (254 nucleotides) under uncultured bacterium. Its description in RNAcentral is "partial 16S ribosomal RNA". It matches the Rfam family "Bacterial small subunit ribosomal RNA", at positions 524 to 776 of the family's 1533-position model. The record is from RNAcentral.
UACGGGGGGAGCAAGCGUUGUUCGGAUUUACUGGGCGUAAAGGGCGCGUAGGCGGUCGUGACAAGUCACUUGUGAAAUCUCCGGGCUUAACUCGGAACGGUCAAGUGAUACUGUCGGACUAGAGUACAGAAGGGGCAACUGGAAUUCUCGGUGUAGCGGUGAAAUGCGUAGAUAUCAAGAGGAACACCUGCGGCGAAGGCGGGUUGCUGGGCCGACACUGACGCUGAUGCGCGAAAGCUAGGGGAGAGAACGGG